GACGAGCGCUGGCGGCACGCUUAACACAUGCAAGUCGAACGAGCGAAAGAGUGCUCGCACUCUCUAGCUAGUGGCGGACGGGUGAGUAACACGUGAGCAAUCUGCCUUUCGGAGAGGGAUACCAUUUGGAAACGAAUGUUAAUACCUCAUAACAUAACGAAGCCGCAUGACUUUGUUAUCAAAUGAAUUUUGCCGAAAGAUGAGCUCGCGUCUGAUUAGGUAGUUGGUGAGGUAACGGCCCACCAAGCCGACGAUCAGUAGCCGGACUGAGAGGUUGAACGGCCACAUUGGGACUGAGACACGGCCCAGACUCC
This 314-nucleotide ribosomal RNA is filed under the name uncultured Ruminococcus sp. Its description in RNAcentral is "bacterial SSU rRNA". It matches the Rfam family "Bacterial small subunit ribosomal RNA", at positions 28 to 339 of the family's 1533-position model. Lineage: Bacteria; Bacillati; Bacillota; Clostridia; Eubacteriales; Oscillospiraceae. The record is from RNAcentral.